CGGUUGAUCCUGCCGGAGGACAUUGCUAUUGGGAUUCGAUUUAGCCAUGCUAGUCGAGCGAGUUCAGACUCGCGGCAGAUAGCUCAGUAACACGUGGCCAAACUACCCUACAGAGCGGGACACCCUCGGGAAACUGAGGCUAAUCCCGCAUACGGCUCUCAGGUUUGAACAACAGAGAGUUCCAAACGCGACAGCGCUGUAGGAUGUGGCUGCGGCCGAUUAGGUAGACGGUGGGGUAACGGCCCACCGUGCCCAUAAUCGGUACGGGUUGUGAGGGCAAGAGCCCGGAGACGGUAUCUGAGACAAGAUACCGGGCCCUACGGGGCGCAGCAGGCGCGAAACCUUUACACUGCACGCAAGUGCGAUAAGGGGACUCCGAGUGCGAGGGCAUAUCGUCCUCGCUUUUGUGUACCGUAGGGAGGUACACGAACAAGAGCUGGGCAAGACCGGUGCCAGCCGCCGCGGUAAUACCGGCAGCUCAAGUGAUGGCCGAUCUUAUUGGGCCUAAAGCGUCCGUAGCUGGCCUCGCAAGUCCGUCGGGAAAUCCACGCGCUCAACGCGUGGGCGUCCGGCGGAAACUCCGAGGCUUGGGACCGGAAGGCUCGAGGGGUACGUCCGGGGUAGGAGUGAAAUCCUGUAAUCCCGGACGGACCACCGAUGGCGAAAGCACCUCGAGAAGACGGAUCCGACAGUGAGGGACGAAAGCUAGGGUCUCGAACCGGAUUAGAUACCCGGGUAGUCCUAGCCGUAAACGAUGCUCGCUAGGUGUGGCACAGGCUACGCGCCUGUGCUGUGCCGUAGGGAAGCCGAGAAGCGAGCCGCCUGGGAAGUACGUCUGCAAGGAUGAAACUUAAAGGAAUUGGCGGGGGAGCACUACAACCGGAGGAGCCUGCGGUUUAAUUGGACUCAACGCCGGACAUCUCACCAGCUCCGACUACGGUAAUGACGGUCAGGUU
This 956-nucleotide ribosomal RNA is filed under the name uncultured Halobellus sp. RNAcentral's name for it is "bacterial SSU rRNA". It matches the Rfam family "Archaeal small subunit ribosomal RNA", at positions 5 to 960 of the family's 1478-position model. Lineage: Archaea; Methanobacteriati; Methanobacteriota; Halobacteria; Halobacteriales; Haloferacaceae. The record is from RNAcentral.